GAUUAACGCUGGCGGCGUGCCUAACACAUGCAAGUCGAGCGGCAGCGAGUUUUACACUGAAUUCUGGAAGCUUCUAGUUGAAAGAGAAGAUUUAUUCAAGAAUUUUGUGUAAAAUGUCGGCGAGCGGCGGACGGCUGAGUAACGCGUGGGAACGUACCCCAAAGUGAGGGAUAACGCAUCGAAAGGUGUGCUAAUACCGCAUAUGGUCUUCGGAUUAAAGCCUUCGGGCGCUUUGGGAACGGCCUGCGUAAGAUUAGAUAGUUGGUGGGGUAAUGGCCUACCAAGUCGACGAUCUUUAACUGGUUUGAGAGGAUGAUCAGUCAGACUGGAACUGAGACACGGUCCAGACUCCUACGGGAGGCAGCAGUGAGGAAUCUUCCACAAUGGGCGAAAGCCUGAUGGAGCAACGCCGCGUGCAGGAUGGAGGCCUUCGGGUUGUAAACUGCUUUUAUAAGUGAGGAUUAUGACAGUAACUUAUGAAUAAGGAUCGGCUAACUACGUG
This 502-nucleotide ribosomal RNA is filed under the name uncultured bacterium. Its description in RNAcentral is "partial 16S ribosomal RNA". It matches the Rfam family "Bacterial small subunit ribosomal RNA", at positions 28 to 507 of the family's 1533-position model. The record is from RNAcentral.